GACGAACGCUGGCGGCGUGCUUAACACAUGCAAGUCGAACGGAAAGGCCCUGCUUUUGUGGGGUGCUCGAGUGGCGAACGGGGGAGUAACACGUGAGUAACCUGCCCUUGACUGUGGGAGAACUUCAGGAAACAGGGGCGAAUACCGGAUAGGAGCUCCUGCUGCAUGGGGGGGGUUGGAAAGUUUCGGCGGUUGGGGAUGGACUCGCGGCUUAUCAGCUUGUUGGUGGGGUAGUGGCUUACCAAGGCUUUGACGGGUAGCCGGCCUGAGAGGGUGACCGGCCACCUUGGGCCUGCGAUACGGCCCAGACUCCUACGGGCGGCAGCAGUGGGGAAUCUUGCACAAUGGGCGGAAGCCUGAUGCAGCAACGCCGCGUGCGGGAUGCCGGCCUUCGGGUUGUAAACCGCUUUCGCCUGUGCCGAAGCGUGAGUGACGGUAAUGGGUCAAGAAGCACCGGCUAACUACGUG
This 468-nucleotide ribosomal RNA is filed under the name uncultured bacterium. RNAcentral's name for it is "partial 16S ribosomal RNA". It matches the Rfam family "Bacterial small subunit ribosomal RNA", at positions 28 to 507 of the family's 1533-position model. The record is from RNAcentral.